This is a long non-coding RNA of Cervus elaphus (red deer), 637 nucleotides long. RefSeq lists it as uncharacterized. Lineage: Eukaryota; Metazoa; Chordata; Mammalia; Artiodactyla; Cervidae. The transcript is spliced from 3 exons. The record is from RefSeq and is a predicted model, not a curated record.
GGGAGGCCACGUGCACAAGGGCGUGGGGACCGAGUGUGGGAGGCGAGGGGGCCCCCAUCUGGGCCAGAGUCCUGCAGAUCCUGAGGUCCAAGGAUGGGAUCUCUGUGUAGCCGGACAACGUGACUUUAGAUCAAGGGGCAUGAAAUACACUCCAGAGAAAAAGAAGGGCGACGGACGGUCUGACACAGACCACAGACUGAGACUGGGGUGGGAUGGUCAUUACAAGCCUUGGAACACCCUGGGCUGCUGGCGACCCCCGGAGCUGCGAGAGGGCCUGGAGCAGGUCCCCCUGCGAACCCCCGGAAGGAGCCCACCCUGCCAUCUCCUUGACUGCGGGCUUCAGCCUCCAGAUCUGGAAGAGGAGAAAUCUCUGCCGUCCCCAGUUUGGGGCGCUUUGUUACAGCAGCCCCGGCCGAACUUGCAGUCACUGGUGCGCUGUCCAGGUUUGCAUUAAUCACAGUCUCCUGGGCAACAACAGUUCCUCUUGAUGUGCGACCUGCGCUUUACCUUUAAACAGACUCACUCUUCACCACCCGUGCCCUUAGUCACACACGCUCCUUUCUCAGAGGUUAUUUCGUCUCAUCUUCGGACUCUCGGUGCUGUCCUCCUCCUCUCCUCCCUGCCCUCCCCCUCCCUG